Long non-coding RNA from Quercus lobata, 993 nucleotides. RefSeq lists it as uncharacterized. The transcript has 4 exons. NCBI's taxonomy places the organism in Eukaryota, Viridiplantae, Streptophyta, Magnoliopsida, Fagales, Fagaceae. The record is from RefSeq and is a predicted model, not a curated record.
AACUUCCUAGAUUUCCUUCCCUUUUCUUUCUCAUGCAAAACGUGUUCCUUCCCCUUCCCCACCUUCUAACAGCAGAUUUCUCACGCAAACCGUGUUCCUUCCCCUUCCCCACAUUCUAAAGGAGGACUUUCAAAAUGCUGUCCACCAAAACAGCCAAACCCAUUCCAAAUAGCCCUUACUUUAUAACGCCAACCCUUUCUUUAUCCCCUCCUUUUGCUCUACCUGUGUUCAAUGGUUUCAAAACUUCAGCCCUUCAGCUUGCUAACACCAACAUCUCUCUCUUCCAAAGACAGUUUCAAAACUUAAGACCUUUGGCUUUCUAAAACAGAAUAUUUGAUGAUUCACUUCAGACCUUUAAAACUUGAACAAAACACUAGGUGGAGCUAUUGAAGAGGAGGCAGAUUUCACAGAAACAGACAUCCUCGGCAGUUAAGACGGAGUGCUGAUAUGCUCCCAUGAUGUAACACUGGAUCUCGAUAAUAGAGCAAAUAUUGCAAACUUCAGUCAGUUUGCUGAUCGAAAAAGAACUUAUGAGGUCUAGGGUGUGAAUAUGACUGGGUUUUUAGGUUACUAUGGUGAGAAUUACAGAAAGAGUCGUUAAUCUUUACUUUGCCGGACUAUAUUUUAGCAAGCCUGGGAAAAAUGGCAUUCUAAGUGUGGAUGCACGUCCCUCAGGUGCCAUAAAUGUGGCAAAUAGAUGCAAGGCACCAAUAUUUGUAAGUAGACAAAUUGUCUUGGAAGAUGCUAUUAAAAUUGGUUAUGGAAUGGGCUGAACACAUGAUACUAAGUCUACUUAUGAUGUGUCCCUUGACAAGUAUUGUGCGCAUAGUUGGGGACCUUAUAAUUGCUAUCAUUUGUUAUUGUUGUAUCUCGUAGCAUGAGUUAUUUCUUCUCCAGUGCUGCAGAUGGUCCAGAUAUACUGUCGGACCUGCUUGAUUUUUUAUGUAUUUAUUUAAAUGUUAAAUUUUGUAUAAUGGGUUUUAUUUAUUUUGA